Molecule: RNase P RNA, 248 nt
Filed under: Thermoproteota archaeon
Lineage: Archaea; Thermoproteati; Thermoproteota
Description: partial RNase P RNA component
Rfam family: Archaeal RNase P
About the family: Ribonuclease P (RNase P) is a ubiquitous endoribonuclease, found in archaea, bacteria and eukarya as well as chloroplasts and mitochondria. Its best characterised activity is the generation of mature 5'-ends of tRNAs by cleaving the 5'-leader elements of precursor-tRNAs.
Source: RNAcentral
GUGAGCUAGCGGGCAAGUCACUUCAUAACGAAGAGGAAACUCCUCCCUCAUUACAGGCACCUAAGUUAGCGAUAACUAAAGGGAGACUUUUGGCAACGAAACAGAAAGGAAUUCAGCCAGGAUCUUAAGCUGUGAUGACCAAUAGUCUGAGUGAUUCUGGAAUGAAAUGAAACCGUCGUCCUAGGUGGAGAAAGGCCAAACAGAGUUUACACCUGUUUAUUAACUCAGGUAGGCUGCUUAGCUGAAUC